AGCCAAAGAACAAAGGGGGAAAGAAUAGAAGAACCCUAAGGAGGAAAAAUUCAAGAGAAAUUCAUUGAAUUUUCGAAAAAUGAAGCGAUCGGAGGUAAGAUUUCACGAUUUAACUUAAGAUCUACCUUACCCAUGCUUUCUUUUUCAUUUUCUAUGGUUGAAACUCAAGUUUUCAUGAUGGAAGCAUGCUGGCUGAAUCAAGGGGGGAAGGUUUUGAGGAUGGGUUUUGCUAGAUCUCAUGUUAUCUAGGCAUUUUUAGUUGUUUGUGAUAUUCGGUGUGAAAAACAAGCAAGAAAACAUGUUCUUUAUAAACCCUAAUUGGCCAAAUUCUAUAGGGAAUAUUUUGAAGAUGAAUUUUGUCAUAUUUCAUGUUAUCUAGCUCGUAUUUGAUGAUUCAUGAUGUUGGAUAUCGAAAACGGUUAUCGAAAAGUAUAGUUCCUUUAGUAAACAACUUGAACAAUAAUGAGAAAAUUAUAGUAAAUGGACUUAGAAUUGAUUUCUAAUGAGGUAUACGGACUUAUUGGAGUACCAAAAGUGCAAUGAAUCUAUUUGGAGUUGAAUUGGAUGUUUUGGCUAAUUAAACAGUGUAUAGUGCGAGUUAGGUCGAAUACCAUUUUAGUCUAACAAUAAUUGAACCUACGUAGAACACCAUCUUUAAGUGAUUAUUCGAACACUUCUCAUUCAAUUUCAUACAUUCAUAAAGAGCCUGAAAUAGUCUUAUAACAGUUUGGCACAAGUGUAUUGAAUUACUUGUUGUGCAUUAUGUAUAGGUGGUGAGCUCUCUAGUAAGGGUAAGGAUAUCGUACUCGAGGAUCGAGAGUAGGAGUACUCCCAUUAUUGUGAGUAAUCAGACAAUCAUCUUAACUAUCUAAAGUAGUUUAUACUCGUUUUUAUGAUUUUAAAGGAUAAUGAACUUAAAAUGUAAACUAUUAUGUUUUAUAACUGAAGUGUUAGUUAAAUGAAAUGAGAUUCAUAAUUUGGUUUGAAAUUGAAUCCUGGUUUUAGAAAUUGAGUAAGUGGAAACAAUAUACUUGUGUUAUAUAUAUGUUUUGAUUAUUGUUAGUUAUGUCGACCCUACUUUACAAUAAAUGUAUCAGCAUAACAGGAUUUGUAAUUGACAUAUGGUUUGAAUUGAUGGCUUAUGACAAUGUGACGGCAUGAAUGGUUGGAUUUGUGUUUGUGUGGAAUAUAUGAACUGUUUUGUUUUACCUUGACAGUCUGGUAAUAUCAUAUUAGCCAUGUCAUACUGCCGAAAUUUUUAUUGAUUUGGUGGGGUAACUGAUUAGCUUACUGCAGUGGGCGAGUUUCCGUGGACCAGCCUAUUAGAGAGGCACGGUAAACCUGUUAUUUUUACCUUAAUAUGAGAGGCGCGGAGGGUAUCUCCUAAGGUAGUUUAGAGUUCACUUCACGUCGAACCACCACGUGAGGGUGAAACUCAGCCAACGUCAAGGAACGGCUACGUUUUUAAACGUAAAAACAUGUUUUAUGUGUAAAUGUUAAUUUAAUAGCCUUGGCGGACUCGAUUGGAUGCCCGACGCAAGGUGCCACCGAGUAUGAGUUUUGGCACGAGUCAAGUUUUAAGAGAGUCAUAAGCCUUACUGAUUAUUUUUGAUGAAAUGUAAUUGUUUUAUAUGGUUGAAAUGAGUUUUAAUGUUUUGAGUCAUAUUAUGAAGAGAUGUUUUAAUUGUCUCCAUUUACUCAGUUUUAGAUGUUAUAGAUAAACUUUGCUUACUCACUGGGUUUAUAAAAACUCACCCCCUUCUUUUCACUCAUUUUAGGUUCAAAGCAGUCUGUAGACAGUCGAUUUUGUCGAGGGUUUGCUUUUGGAUUUGCACCCUUAGAAAUCGUAGGUCUACAGUCCUGUUUAUUUUUGUUAUUUUAGGGCUCACAUGGCAUUGUAAAAUAUUUUUGUAUACCUGGCGCUGUGUGCUAUUAUGUAUAUAAAUUUAUUUUGUUACUACGCUACAGUAAUUGUUUACAUAGAA
This 1985-nucleotide long non-coding RNA is filed under the name Theobroma cacao (cacao). Its description in RNAcentral is "long non-coding RNA (TCAC_LNC003994)". The record is from RNAcentral. Lineage: Eukaryota; Viridiplantae; Streptophyta; Magnoliopsida; Malvales; Malvaceae.